This is a long non-coding RNA of Helianthus annuus (common sunflower), 1327 nucleotides long. RefSeq lists it as uncharacterized. The record is from RefSeq and is a predicted model, not a curated record. The transcript is spliced from 2 exons. NCBI's taxonomy places the organism in Eukaryota, Viridiplantae, Streptophyta, Magnoliopsida, Asterales, Asteraceae.
GUUUUUUUCCUUUCACUUUGAUUGAUUUUUGUGAAAUUGUUGUAAUUUUGGGUGUUGAAUGAAUUGGGGAUAUUGCAGAUGGGAAGAACAGUGAUGCUACUAGGUCCAAGCACUCGAUGACGGAGCAACAUAGAAGGAACAAGAUUAAUGAAAGGUAUGUGUUUGUUUUAUCAUAAUUAUUGUUUUUGUAUUUGAUAUAUUUAAGUUUAUACCUUUUGUGGAGUAUGUUUAGUUUCUUAUAGUAAUACAUACUCCCUUUAAUAAUAUGUUUUUUGGUCAUUGGUGGAUUGUAGUUUGUGAUUUGAUGAAAUUAGUUUGAUUACAGUGGAAACACUCGAAAUGAAAUGAAAGGGAUAUAUGUAGCAGGGUUAAAGUAAUCAUGAGAUGAAGGUAUGAAAGAUGUGAGUUGUGAUCUGUACGUUUUAGAUCCAAUUUCUUAAAUCCUCAAAAUUCAUGAAAUAUUUAUCAACAACGUCAGAGAAGAUGAAAUCUACUAAAGGGCAUCAAGAAGACGAUUAUGGCGCCAAAAAGAUAAUUACCCAUCUUCAAAAGGCAUGUUUUUUCCUUUCAUUUUGAUUGAUUUUUGUGAAAUUGUUGUAAUUUUGGGUGCUGAUUGAAUUGGGGAUAUUGCAGAUGGGAAGAAUAGUGAUGCUACUAGGUCCAAGCAUUCUGAUUUGUAAUCAACAUUGUUCUUUUUUCGUGAUUUCAUUUUUUUGCUUUGUGAUUGGUAUGAUUUGCAGGUGGAUGUUGCGAUGUUAGUUGUUCUUUGUUAGGGUUUACGCAGAGCAACAAGUUAAGGCACUCAUGGGUUAAUGCUUUUCAAUUACUACAGCUAUUUCAUUUUUUUUCUUGGGAAAUUUUGUUGGAUUUUUGUUGCUGCGACUGCUGAUACCAUCUUUCUAUAUCUGUUAUUUGUCGUUUUUCGCUUGAUUUUUUAGUAUUUUGGUGAUAUCAGUGCAACAUAACUUUUUUGUUACUUGAAUUGCACUGGUGCAUCCGUGUUGGGCAGUUCUUAUUGUUACUUAAUUCUCGCUCUCACAUGACACAACAUCUAAAAUGGGUAUAUGUGUUUUUGCAGUCUGUGUCAAAUUGUGUACGGGUCAAAAUGGGCAGCUUUAAAAAUCAUUUCAAAUGGGUUCGGGUCAAAACGGGUUGGCUUAGAAAGGGUUUUUUAUGUUGGUUAGUGGUGGCAGCGGUGGUGUCGUCAUGUCAACUGCUGUGGUGGCAUCAACAUCGACUGGUCAUCAAAGACAUUCAUCAAGGACACUAAGUUUUCGGGGACUAUAUAUCAAUGGCGGACUGUGUGACGUUGGGUCUCAUUAUCAUA